UACGAAGGGGGCUAGCGUUGUUCGGAAUUACUGGGCGUAAAGCGUGCGCAGGCGGCUUCUCAAGUCAGGGGUGAAAGCCCAGAGCUCAACUCUGGAAUUGCCUUUGAGACUGAGUGGCUUGAGUACGAGAGAGGUGAGUGGAAUUCCCAGUGUAGAGGUGAAAUUCGUAGAUAUUGGGAAGAACACCGGUGGCGAAGGCGGCUCACUGGCUCAUUUCUGACGCUCAGGCGCGACAGCGUGGGGAUCAAACAGG
RNAcentral lists this ribosomal RNA (253 nucleotides) under uncultured bacterium. RNAcentral describes it as "partial 16S ribosomal RNA". It matches the Rfam family "Bacterial small subunit ribosomal RNA", at positions 524 to 776 of the family's 1533-position model. The record is from RNAcentral.